AAAUUUUCCUUGGAGGUGGUCCCCGCAGGAUUUACUUCGGGUUUUAGGGUGAAAUUCGGGGUGGGUCCUGACAGAAAUUUUGCAGAGAUGAUCUACACAAUAUUAUCUAGAUACUAGACGGUGGAGAUGAGGAAAUUCGAUCGAAAAGUGGUGCAAAAAUGGAAAUCCGCACGAAAACCAUUGGUGCAGACGUCCGCAGCCGAGAAGAGUUGUAUAUAUAUAUAUAUAUUGUCACAUCCCGACCCUUAUAUUUUUACCUUAUUUACUAGCGUGAUUAUAAUAAGAAUUUUACCGUCUCGAUCAUUGAGUAAAUAGUUUAAUUGGUCCCUAGAGGGGUUUCGGGGACGAUUAUGUGCGGAGGAUUAUUCGUAUGAGGAAAAUACGACUACGGUAAAAAUGGUAAAUUUUAGCUAGUAAAAGGUAAUUUUUAUUCGGGUAUUAUUUUUCGGGGUGUUUUUAUUUUGGAAGUUUGGGUUUAAAAGGGGUGUUGGGUCGGCUGGGCCGAGCCCAACCCAUUUCUUCUUCUUUCUCUUCUCCCUCCCUCCCGAUUUUUCUUCUCUUCUCACCCGAUUUUCUUCUCUCUACACCCACCGGUUUUCCGGCCGCCCUCCCGCCGCCGUCCGACCUCCGUUCGCCACCGGACCGGUCCCGUUCGGUCGGUCUCCCUCCCAGCAACAUUUCUAGACCGGUGAGAGGAGCCCUAGCGCCGCCGUGAAGGAGCGGUGCCACCCGUAAGGUCCGACUGUCCAAACCUUCACUUCGCCGGAACUUCCUCCUCCGGCCACCAAUCCGGGCAAGCUUGGUAUGGUUUUGUAGCCCUCCAACCCAGCAACCUUGCCCUAAAAGGACUCACUCCCUCUUGAGCUAGGUAAGGAGAAAUUUGAAGUGGAAGUUUUAUGGUGUUUUUGAUGUUUUUAGUCGAUUGCCCUAGUUAGGCUUGGAAUUGGUGUUUGUGCUAGUUAUGAAAGUUGUAGAGCUUGAUGAGAAGAAGAUGCUGUUAAAAUUUCAUAGGUUUUGGAGGUCGCCGGAAUUGACCUCCGGCCGCCGCUGCCGGCGGAGCCACCGCCGGUUGGGAGAUUUUAAUGUUGUUAAAUUUGGAAUAUUAAGGGGAGUUUAUUGAAGUGAGUUAUGGAAUUUUUGGAUGAGUUUUGGAUAGGUUUAUGAAUUUCCGAAGUGUGGUAUUUUUGGCGGGUAAUUAAUGUAGAAUCCGGCCGUUGGAUUUAAGUCGUAUUUUGGAGAGGUUGUAUUUACGACUGUUGAGUAUGAUAUUUAAGUUCGGAUUGUUCCGAUGUAAGAAUAUCGAAGUUAGGCAAUAAUGAGCGUAAUUAUGGCUCUCGGGUAAUUUUGCCUAUUUUGAUUAAAUAUUGGAUUAUUGGUUGGG
Molecule: long non-coding RNA, 1381 nt
Filed under: Fragaria vesca (wild strawberry)
Lineage: Eukaryota; Viridiplantae; Streptophyta; Magnoliopsida; Rosales; Rosaceae
Description: long non-coding RNA (FVES_LNC004838)
Source: RNAcentral